UACGUAGGGGGCAAGCGUUGUCCGGAAUCAUUGGGCGUAAAGAGCGUGUAGGCGGCCCGGUAAGUCCGUUGUGAAAGUCCAGGGCUCAACCCUGGAAAGCCGAUGGAUACUGCCGGGCUAGAGUUCGGAAGAGGCGAGUGGAAUUCCUGGUGUAGCGGUGAAAUGCGCAGAUAUCAGGAGGAACACCGAUGGCGAAGGCAGGUCUCUGGGCCAACUGACUGACGCUGAGAAGCGAAAGCAUGGGGAGCGAACAGG
This 255-nucleotide ribosomal RNA is filed under the name uncultured bacterium. Its description in RNAcentral is "partial 16S ribosomal RNA". It matches the Rfam family "Bacterial small subunit ribosomal RNA", at positions 524 to 776 of the family's 1533-position model. The record is from RNAcentral.